UUUUUUUCAAUCUAUAGUUUGAUCUGAUACUGUUUAUCAUUUUUCUUUCAAUAGAAAGAAUAGUGAAGUUCACUGCCUGAAUGUUGAAAUCUGAGGAGACAAAUAGACUGUCCGUUGAGGGUUCUCCUCUGGCAGUUCUGUCUGUGUUGUCUUUGUUCAGUGUGUUCUUGUUAGUGUUGUGUCUGACCACAUGGCUCUGUCUCUGUUUGUGUUUGCCAUGUGCUCCUCUUGUCCUGCCUCCUUGUUUCCCUUACCACGUCCCCUUGUUUAGUCCUUGUUGAGUGCUCUUUUAUCUGAGUGUUGUCAUAUGUUCUUCACGUCUCAGAUCCCUUUAUAUUGUGCUCCUUUUGCCUUUUGUGUUGCCAGUUCAUCUAACUAAAUACUGUGCAACUGUGUUCUUCCUUGUUGCAAUAGUCUGUAGUGUAUUGUUAAGCUAGUUCUACCUGUUUAUUCUAAUGUUGUUUUGUUCCUAUGUAUCCUUGCUCUAGUUAAGUAUCCCUUAGUGUUAUCUGCUUUAUCUUUAGUAUUUAGUUUCCCUUUUUCUUUCCUUAGUCAUUUGCCUUUAGACUUUCCCUUUUAACUAGUUCCUUUAGCUUUUCCCUGGCUUUAGUUUUAUGUUUUAAUUUAUGUUUUUUUAGUUAUUGUUUGGUUUUGGUUACCGCCUUCUGUCUUGUUGUGUCUUGUCCUGUGCGGUGGUGUGUCUUGUUUGUCUUUAGUCCUGUCCUGUGCUGCAGGCUGAGCUCCCGGGCUGCUCCCUGAAUCUGUAGCAGCAAGACCUGUGCCUGUGAGACCACGAGUGUGGAGUGGCUUGUGCUUCGAGUUCCUGUCAGGCCAUCGCUGCUAACCUCCGGCCUCCCUCUGCACUGCCACUACUGUUAUCCAGGGCUGGACUCAGCGGCUUCUCUCUCAGCAUAUCUGUCUUCGAGCCUCUUCCCAUCUUAUUGUUUGGACUGUAUUCACACCCUCCACACCUUCUCUUGUCGUGUCUUGUCAGCAGUAUUGUCAGUAAACCCGUGAUUACUCAUUCUGCAUUUAAAUCCUCUCUCACAGAAUCCCUGACACCUGUAGUUGGUAUUUAAAUCUUUCUGUCAUUCAUUACAAUAGGGACGUUCAGUCUGUGCAUUGAGGUAAAAUAAAACUCUGGUUAGAGUCAGAAUAAAAAUAAAAAAAGCACAGGGAUGGCAACUGCUUGGAUGUUGUGAGAGGAAAUUGGCUUCAGACGAUGGUAGUCUUGAAGUGUGAGGAACUACCCGAUCACCCUAACCAUCCAUUGUAUUAUCCACCAGCAAACCUUCUCUUUGAAAUGCUGUAAAUCAACCCUGAUCCUUCCAAAUCGUUUGACUGUAACAGGAAUGACUGGGAGAAGUCUGGGUCAAGCAGGAUGCAGCACCUUUCUCACGGUUAUGCUCCACUAAACCUCAUCGGACUAUCCUUUCUUGUCAGAUCUGUGAGAGGACAGGCUAAAAAUUGGCAUCCAGCCAACCUGAGGAAUACUCAUAAGUUUUGUUGUGCACCCUGGUUUGUUUGAUACCAGAAUUUGGUUCCGCUGAAUGAUGUGAACGCUGUUUUCUGAACUCAGGUGCGCAUAUGCAAAAUGUUCCUUGUUCCUGGAAUAGUCUACAUUAUGUUUUUUUCAGACCAACUGAAUCAUCAGUCCGAUUAAUAAUUUGAUUAUUAGGUUGAAUUUUAAAUGUAGACAGUGACAGGCCAAAUGCAUGAAGCUGGAAUUGAAAUGCCUUAUCUUUGAAGACGAAUUUCAGUGACAGUAUCUGUCUUUCAGAUUCUCUGUUACAAACCUCUAAAAGAAAUCACACUGUUUAUAGUUGUUUAUACAGUAAAAAAAAAAGCCAGUGAACAGAAUUUUUACAGAAUGUUUGUAUUAUGUAAUCACAUUUCUCUGUCACCUUAUUUCUAAAUGUGGUGUCAUGUUUUUCACCAUACAAGUUAAAUUUUUAGGUGACACUUUUGUACCAAUCAAAACAGGCCUGUAAAACUGUGCUGAAGGUUUCCGCUGGUAUUUUUUUAACAUUGAAGUCAUCAUCUGAAAGGUUUCCAUAGUUCUGUGGCAAGCCUGAUUAUUGUAUAAUUGUCACACACAUGGACAGUUUUGUUCCUGUUCCGCAUGUCAAUUUGGAUUCCCUUUGUUUUUUUGUUAUUAAAAGUCUGUUUUUGAGCAA
This is a long non-coding RNA of Cyprinus carpio carpio, 2177 nucleotides long. Lineage: Eukaryota; Metazoa; Chordata; Actinopteri; Cypriniformes; Cyprinidae. The record is from Ensembl.